GCUCAGCUGAGCUCUGCUGAUUCCCUGCUGUAGUGUGGAGGUGGGAUGCCUUUCUGGCUGCUGGAGAGCUGGGAAGGAUGGUGGUAUGUUGAAUUUAUUGCUGUUUUUCUCCAGUUUUAUCUCUUUUCAUGCUGUUACUGAGUUGAGAAGGAGUUGGGCUGCAGCAGGAGAGUGCAGCACACUUGACUGAAGAGAGAUAAAAACUGUCCAGCUUCAAUCCCUCAGACCUCAACCUCAAGGAGCCAGAGCUGAUUCCCAGCAGCCAGAUCUGUUGCGAAGCAGAAUCUGAGGAGAAAAACAAAUCCUUUGGGUAUGUGAGGCUAUGACACAGGAAGAAACAAAGAGUUAGUUGCUUUUUCUCUUCAGUGAAGAAAUUUAGGAAGAAAUUCUCAGACCCUGGAAGGGGCUGCCCAGGGAGGUGGUGGAGUCCCCAAGGAACACUCAGUGCCCUGGGCUGGGUGACAAGGUGGGGAUCAGUAAAAGGCUGGACUUGAUGACCUGGGAUGUCUUUUCCCACCAAAAUGAUUCUGUGAUUCCUGUGGCUUUAUCACGGGACAUCCAAGGAAAGCUGCUGUGCUGGUGGCCAGAGUUUGAGAGCUCCUUUUUCUGCUCUGUGCAGACAGAAUGAUGAUGGUGUCUGGCUUUGCUGAGCAGGGAUCUGGGUCAGGCCAAUCCCCCUCACCAGCAAUCCAGCCUUUAAAAUGAUGCUCAUGUUCCAGAGGCACUAAAUUUAGCAGCUGUUUACUAAGAGGUGUUUAAAAUUAGCAGCAAAGGCCACCCUGAGCAUGUGACAAGGAGAGGUGCUGUCACCACGGGGCUCUGUGACCCUCCACGCUACUCUCCCUUCAAGACCUGUGGCAUCUUCAUUCCAAGAGCUCAGUGGUGAAGGUUGGCGGAAGGCAGAUGGGGGUGCUGAGAAGGAGAAAAUGGAAAGCUCUGCCCUCUGCACCUCAUGGAAGAAGGGAUUUCUCAUCCUAGCCUCAGAGGAAUUUCAUCCAAGACAAAAGGUGGUCUACAGAAAAACCCAUCUCCUAAGGCUGGAGGCCUCACACAGAUGGGAUCUAUUUUCCAAAGGAUCAUAGGACUGAGGAAUUAAUUGCUGGGGUACCAGUUGUCAAUUUCUUUAGGUCAGGACUGAAGGCACUUGAGACAGUAGUUCAUGUUUGCACUCAGGUGUUUAUUAUUUCUUAUCAGUAAAACAGUCUCACAACUGUGAGUUUGGCAGCUUUUCAUUAGAAGGCACAAAAUGGCCAACAAUCUCUUGUUACAAGGUCUUUUAAGACUGAACUAUCCAAUUAAGAACUGACACCUGGAUUAUUUCCCCUUUUAACCCAAUAACUGAUCCCAAAGAGCCUGCAAUGCGGAUUUUUCUGCCCAAUUACAAAUUACCACCCAAACCCAUGAAGAAGAAGGAAGAAGAAGGAUGAAGAAGAAACCCAGGAUGACACCCUGUGCCCUCCAUCUUGCUCCCAUCCACAACAUACUAAAAAUCCCAAAACCUAAAUUUCUCCCCAAGUGACACACCUACACUACUCUCUAUAAUCUAUUUCACACUUUUGUGGAUUCCAGUCUAUCUUGAAGUCUAGGAAACUUUCUCCAUGGAUGAGGGUGAAAGUCAGUGCUCCCCUGGGGGGUCAGGGCACCCCAGAACACAGAGAAAUAUUCCCAGUGCCCUGGGUUUCCACAAUUAAUGAUGCUGGAGGUCUCUAAUUCAGCCCUUUUCUCAACACUGGGCCAAUAUCAAGUUGCCCAGGGUCUUGCUCUGGGUAGUUUCAGGUGUCUCCAAGAGCUGCAAAGCCCUUCUGGACCCUGGCCCAGGGCUGCACUGCACUCAGAGGAAAUAAUUUUCAUUUGUUUAUUUGGAAUUCCCCUUGUUGGACAUUGACCCCAUCACCUCUGAGGGGAGCCUGGCUCUGUCUCCUCUGCACCUCCACUGAGCAGUGCAGCCAGACAUCCACCUAAACCCUUCUUUUCUGUGGGGUGGGUGAACCCAGCUCCCUCAGCAUCUCCCUGAGUGCAUCCUCCAAACUCCUGGCCAUUCCUGUGCCUCUGGACUCCCUUGUCCAGGUCACCUUCCAUGGCAGCCUGGCCUUCCAGCAAAGAGGCAUCCUUAUCCAAACUGUCCCUAUCCCAGGGAAAUCUCCUGGAGAUCCGCUGGGCUCCAGGGUGGAAGCCCAGAUGGCUCCCCUCCAUGGGGAAGCAUUUAAUGCUUUAACUUUUCUUUUCAUUGAUUAAUUAUUUAUGGUCCACUAAGGUACUUUUCCUUUCUCUUUCAUUUUUGUCCCUUUUUCUUUUCAAUUCAUGCUGAUAUUCUGGUUGUUUUGUUUGGUCUGAGUCUCUCACCCAGAUCCUCUUUCAAUCUGCCUCAGAAUGAGCUCCAGAGCUGGGAGCCUUUUUCCUCCUUUUGUUCUGCACUCAGCCAAGAGAUUGCAAUUUCCUUUGAAGAUAUUUCAUAAUCUUUUUUUCGGUUAUUUUGGUACUUUAUCCCUCCAUUAGAUAUUGCCUCUUGUAGAAACCUGGGGUUUGGAAUAUUUUUACGCUCUGUUAGAUAUUUCUAACCUAAUUCAAUUAUGGAUUUUUGUUGUUUUUUUUUCUAUUUACUUAAAUUAUUAAAAUAUAUAAACUAAUUCUGAUUUGUGUAUGUUCAUGUCUAUCAUUCUGUUCUUUUCAAGUCUGUUCAUUCUGUCUGCCCAUGACUUUUUUUUCCCCUGUGUUGCCAGUGGUAUUUUCAGAAACACAUUGACAUAAACACCAUUUUAUUGUUUAAAAUAAAUAAAUAGACAAACUCUUUUACUUUGCACUUUCCUGUCACAUUGGAUUUUGCUGUUAACCUGCCAUUGCACCAAUGGAAAAAAGCAUUUGAUUUAGAGAAGUUGGAAUGUGAGAUAUAAUGUACACAGUCUCCAAAUCCUGAUGGUCUUUGAAAUUUCUCUCCUGUGAUAUGAUUUCCUCUCUGUUACCCAUUCCUCUUCCACUUUUCUUUCCCAUAUAGUCAAUACUGACUUCCUUUGUAAAGGUUUAUUUGUGUUUGCAGCCUUGUUUCUACAUUCAGCAGUUUAUCCUGAAAAAGUUCCCCUCCCUCUAAGCUCUCACAGGAUAAGGUAGAAGGUGGAAUAAAGAUUUGAUAACAAAUGGAAUAAACAGAGAAGAAUGAAAAAGUGUGAUUAAAGUAAUUUGUGACACUGGACAAAGUUUAUUAGAUCCCACAAUCGUUGCUGUAUUCCAGAAAAACCUGGGGAAAAGUGUGAAUAAUGAAGUUUGGUGACAAUCCUUUGUUAUUCAGGGCAAAGCUAAUGCUAAUUGUGAAUAUUUGUGUGAGAGAUGUCUGAUUUUUGCAUCAGCAGGUGGUGAAUUUAAUGCUGAGGUGGUCAUGCACUCAGGAGAAGGCAGCAGCACCCAGGGAAGGGCUGCUGGAAUGGAAACCUCAGCUCUGUGGUCAGUAUGGCCAAAAAUAGGUAGGGAUUGCUUGGAAAGGAAUUGUGAAUAAAAAAAAAAAAAUUUU
Long non-coding RNA from Passer domesticus (house sparrow), 3502 nucleotides. RefSeq lists it as uncharacterized. NCBI's taxonomy places the organism in Eukaryota, Metazoa, Chordata, Aves, Passeriformes, Passeridae. The transcript is spliced from 2 exons. The record is from RefSeq and is a predicted model, not a curated record.